CACAAACUCCACAGCACAGCUGUUCCACAUUCAUCUUUUCCUUCUUGCAAAUUUUUCUUCACCGAGAGGCAGUUUCUCUCUAUUUUUGUUGUUGUUUGUUGUUGCAGAGCCAAUUACAAAAGGCUGGUGGGUGACUUGAGCCACUAGAGCAGGGUGGAAGUCUGCGAAGGUGUUUUGUACCCAGCAAGAUCUGCAGCAGAGCUGAGGGAGGGAAGCCCUUCACCUGAGCCCUAUCCCUGCUAUCGAGGCACAUCUUGACUCAGCUCCACAAGGCUCUGAAAUAGUCCAAAACAGGAGGACGGGCAUUCAGUCAAAGCAAGGAUUGCAGGAAAUGUCAGAUGUGUGAGCUGGUAAGUGUUGCAUAUCUCAAGGUGGGGAGUUUAAUGUAGGCAAGAACUGGAAAAUACAUACAGCAUCAUUUUUUCCUACAAAUUCAAGGCUGAACUCUUGUGACCUGUGCAUCCUGUGCACCAUGCUGAUAGAUGUAGCCCUGUAUUGCAAUACUGAAACUAGAAGGAGGAUUGUAUGCCUUAUUUGAAAAUGUACCUUGCUUGAAAUCCUUUUAUGCGUUAUGUUGUGGCUUUUUUCUAAUCAACUGAUCUUGAGGAUUCCAUUUACAUUUACUUCAUUCAGUAGCUCGAGAGCCAUUGUGUGUUUCAAAAGGGUUAUUUUCCUUUGUAUUCAGUUCCCUUGUGUCUGAGACGAUGCGUUUGGGGGCUGUUUGGAAACUGGACAGCCUGGCCUGGGGCUGGGAGCCACAGACAGCCAAUAACACUAAAUUAGAACCUGAGUGGGAAAAUGCAUCUCAGCAAAUUUCACCUCUGUGUCCUCAGUUACCUCGUAGGGCUGAAACCCUUGGAAGGUCCUUGGCUGGAGAAAGGGAGGUGUGGAGGUUUUGGAGCCUGCAGAUGUGCAUCUUGCUGACUGCAGCUCACAGAAGGGGUAUGAAGUUCUGGGAACCCCAUCCUCAUGAUGCAAGCCAAGCUCUGUUGCUCAGAAGAGACACAGGUGCUGCAUCAAACUGACACAGCCCUGAUUGGACAGCCAUUUCCAGGUAAACAUCACAUUGAAAUAAUGAGGAAAGUAGUGUUUGGAGAAGUUACAUCAUCCUUAUCUUCAGUCUAAGCUGGUAUAUGUGUUAGGAGCCUGCUAACAUGCACCGACUUUGGAAACAUGCAUAAAGUAGACCGUGUACUUGGAAAAGCUGUAAAAUCGUUUCUCUUUUCCUAGAGGUAUUAAAACUUCCCUUCCCCUGCUAAAAUCCUUAACCUAAAAUAUGUCAAAUGGUCUAAGCCUUGAUUAUAUAUGCCUUAAGCUUAUCAUAUAUAGAAAAGAAUACCAGUGUCCUUUGUUUGUCUAACAAAGGCUAAAUUUAAUCUUCAGAGCAUAGUGCAAAGAAUAUCUGUUUAUUUAGAUUUCUAGCCUGGGGGCUGAGAGGCACAGUUUGUAUUUAAGACCUCUAGCUGACAUUUGCUAACUUGGUUUGCAUACAUUUAAAUGUGUUUUUGUACCCACAGGCAGUUGCUUAGAGUGUAAAGUGAUAGAAUAUAUGAGUAUAUAUGGCCAAAUCAUUAUUACUCCAAGUUAUCCCUGCUGGAAUAUGAAGGAGAAUGUGAAUUUUGGAGACCCUAAAAUCCUCAGAUGUUACCAAGGUUCCAGGAAUGCAGAGCUGGAUGCAUUUGAAUUUUGCAGUGUGUGGAGCAGACAGGGAGGAGAAGCAGUAAACCUGUCUGAUUUAAGCCUUUUCUUGCUUCAGGAAGCUGCUGCUGCUGGGGAGCAGUAGAGGAUGCAGGGGCAGCCCUUCAUGUCAUUGUCUGGACUCACAGCUUAGCUCUUCCUGGCUGACACUGUAUAGUUUGGGGGCUGAUUGACAAGGAGCAAAUAGUUUAUGACACCUCAGAGCAGGAUCUUGCAGUGCUGUUUUAUGUAACAUAGGGGUAUGAUGGUCAAUUACUGUUUAUUUAAAGUCUCUAUGCAAUCCUAUGUAGAAGGGGGCAGGCUGUGGAAAACGUCCUCCAGAAACAGUGGUAGGUUGAAAAUCAAAUGCAUUUCCUUCUCUGUGAGUGGUUCAGGAGAGAGCCUGUGUGCUUGGGAUGAAGAUGAAGAGAUGAAACUGCUGUAAACAGGGGCUCUCCUCAGGUCCAAACCUUUCCAGGGUACACUUGGCCACAGUAGGCAACCAUCCCAGGCUGCUCCAUGAGAUCCCUCUGACCCAUCCUUGCUGCCUGUGGUUCCUUGUUCACCAAUGCAGUCCUGUAUGAAGUCUGCAAAGAAACACUUUGCAAGAAAAACCUAUUUCCAGUAGAAAUUACUCUAAAAAUUCUUGGGAACGUUUUUACUGUUAUGAUUGUAAAGAGCUUCUCUUAAUGACAUCUAAAUAUGGGGGUAAACUUCAGCUGAUGGCAUCUCAUUAAAACCAACAGAAUAAGAAUUCAAAUGUGCAUCUUCCCCUAAGUGUUUAUCUAGCAGCAGGAGCCUAUUAUCUUGUGUGACGAUGUUAUCUGCUAGCGCCUGUGUAUCUGUACCAAAUUGGAUACAUUUAGACACAGAGGAUUCUGAGUGUUUCUGAUGACAAAGAUAACGAACAACCUGCUUAAAGGAUGGGUGUCGUUUACGUAAUGUAAAUAAAUAUUCAAGCACGUUUCUCCA
Coturnix japonica (Japanese quail) is the source of this 2649-nucleotide long non-coding RNA. NCBI's taxonomy places the organism in Eukaryota, Metazoa, Chordata, Aves, Galliformes, Phasianidae. The record is from Ensembl.